RNAcentral lists this ribosomal RNA (335 nucleotides) under uncultured Legionella sp. Its description in RNAcentral is "bacterial SSU rRNA". It matches the Rfam family "Bacterial small subunit ribosomal RNA", at positions 493 to 827 of the family's 1533-position model. Lineage: Bacteria; Pseudomonadati; Pseudomonadota; Gammaproteobacteria; Legionellales; Legionellaceae. The record is from RNAcentral.
CCGGCUAACUCCGUGCCAGCAGCCGCGGUAAUACGGAGGGUGCGAGCGUUAAUCGGAAUAACUGGGCGUAAAGGGUGCGUAGGUGGUUGUUUAAGUUAUCUGUGAAAUUCCUGGGCUUAACCUGGGCCGGUCAGAUAAGACUGGACAACUCGAGUAUGGGAGAGGGUAGUGGAAUUUCCGGUGUAGCGGUGAAAUGCGUAGAGAUCGGAAGGAACACCAGUGGCGAAGGCGGCUACCUGGCCUAAUACUGACACUGAGGCACGAAAGCGUGGGGAGCAAACAGGAUUAGAUACCCUGGUAGUCCACGCCGUAAACGAUGUCAACUAGCUGUUGGA